Molecule: long non-coding RNA, 209 nt
Organism: Cyprinodon tularosa
Lineage: Eukaryota; Metazoa; Chordata; Actinopteri; Cyprinodontiformes; Cyprinodontidae
Exons: 3
Source: RefSeq, a predicted model, not a curated record
CCCAGACUUUGUCCCGUCUAUCUUUCCAUACUCAAUCCAGCCCGGCAAAGACGGUGUUGCAAAACUGGAGCGAUAUAAGAGAAAAAGAAGAAGGGAUGCAACCCCCAGCAGGUGUCCAGAAGAUGGACAUCAGUGUACACCCUCUUCCAUCUCUCCAACUGAGUGUGGAAUAGAGGCUGGUGCUGAUCUAUAUAAUGAAGGUAUGGUCC